This is a long non-coding RNA of Neodiprion virginianus, 3015 nucleotides long. RefSeq lists it as uncharacterized. The record is from RefSeq and is a predicted model, not a curated record. The transcript has 2 exons. Lineage: Eukaryota; Metazoa; Arthropoda; Insecta; Hymenoptera; Diprionidae.
AAUGCAGAGUGCGCCGAUGUGUAUUCACGCACGACCGAUAAUAUCGCGCUCUACGUACACGCAGCCUCUUAAACUUAUUCACCGCCUCUGGCUGUUAAAUAUACAUAACCCAAGAUUUUCGGCUGCGAAAUAAAUCGGCUCCUGAUUCGGCAUGCUCGUGAGUCUCCAGCGUUUCUUACAGCAGGAAAACGACACGUUCUCUCCUUCGGAAACGAUGUGUGCACAUGUACACAUGACAGUUGAUAGGUGCACAGGCUGCCGGGUAUGCAGCGACUUGGUCCAAGGGAACGGUGAACCGACCGGUUUAACCAAUGAUGAGGCAUUUUAAAUACACACCACCUCAUGCCUACCCACACUUGUCGUUCCGAUGCGCUACCUUAUUCUAGGCUCACGCCAACGCCACUUCGGGCAGUUCUCAAAUCCAGCGUCGGGUUUCCCCCUUCUUCGGGCUAGACGGACAAUUUACGAAAAGACAAGAAUUUUGUUAAUUGCGUUCAAGCGAAAGGAUGUCGUUUCGAUUCUUUCUUUCGCAGAAAAUUUCACGGAUAAACGGUCAUUUGAUAAUUCUUAUCAAAGUUUAAUACAUUUACGCACGAAUCGUGAAGUAUUUAAAUAUCGAUGUGAUUUCUUCUCGUUGUGAGAAUUGUGGGGAGAGACCCUAAACCCAGGCUUUUCAGAGAGAUAUCUACAAAUGUUAUACAGUCAGCAUCGAGUUAUGUGCUUUCGGAGAAUUCAAGUGGAGUAAUAAAUAAACUUGACCUACAACGGCCAACCAAUUAUUCUGUGAUUCUGCCAAAAAGAAAAAAAGAAAAUAUAAAAAAAGUGGAUAAAAAUUUCACAACUAAAUCGUCAUUAUGCAUUAUUACACGUGAUUUAUAUUUCAAGGACCGUCGAAGUUCUCUGCAAAGCUCGUGAUUCGUGAUCAUCGACCCAAAAAACCUCACAGCACCGAUUUUCAUUCGCAUCCAUUAAUCCAUUCUCAAGAUAUCAUGACUUUUAUUUUACUUUUUGGAAUUUUUUUAUCUAAAUAAUUCACAAGGUACCGAACCGAUCAAAGCCAAAAUCUAAUCAGUUCUAAGUUUGGAAAAGACGCGUCGAUUCGAACCAAACACAUUUGAAAUCACAUAACUCGCUCUCGACAUAUCGUCGGAAAAAAAUAUUCAUCACACACAUACAUACACAGACACAAAACGUCCAUCCUAGAAUGACUGGAGGUGAUUCUCUAAAAACUUCAAACGUGGAGAUCCGGUGAAAACUCAAUUUUUCAUUUCUCCAUCGAGGACAAAACUUGCUUCUUUCUCUAAAAUCAGAGAAAUAGAAAGUUAAAAAAAAGUAAAUAUUGUAAAUAGUUUAUGACACAAUGGUUUAAUCGUGGAUCAAAAAUGGAAGGAAACAUAAUAUUAUUACACCUGUAAGGGUGCGGUAAGAAAUUGAACUGCGUCUACCAACAUCGAUGCAAGGAAAACACCGGUGUCCGUACAUCUAUAAUCUAUAGAUAGAUAAAAUGGAUGUGGAUUAUAUUUAUAACAAUGUAUAUUUACACAAAUUCCCGAAGCACCGAAGAACCAGGUUGUGUGGAAUUCAAAUUGGAAGACAAUGAAUUCAUUCACCAACGAAGUGCGUUUUCGUGUACAAAACUGUGCACCUAUACAUACGUACUCAAGUAGAUAUACAUACGUGUGCCAUAUAUAGGUAUAUGCACGUUGCACAAGGCGUACACUAAUGUGUGCGUGGACAGAAUUGAGAUUCUUGUUUGCGAUUGAAAUUUGGAAUCCCGUUGUCGAAAGCCGACUGAGAAAAACAAUGGAUCCCUCACGCUUGAAGUAAUUGCAAAAAUCCACGAUGUUUAAGUUGGUAACGUUAACGUAUCGAAACGAUGAAAGAAAAAAUUAAUAUUUUUCACUUUCGGAGUAAGUGAGGAAGUUGAAUUUAGAAAAUCUCAGUUUCUUGAUGGUGUAUCAACGGUUUGCUAAAUUUCAGGUAAUCCUAAAGUUGCAAGAUAAUGACUUUUUCGAAAUAUGCAUCGUUACAACAACGUCACAAACUUCAACCUGAUAAGAAUGCAGCAGCUGCUGGUUAACAAAAUUAGUUUAAAAUAUUAAAAUCCGAGACAUGUUCGUCUCGAUCGACCGCGGAAGAAAUCGUUUUCAGUCUGAAAUUUCUUUUCUACCUGAUAAGAGGUAGAAUAGUGAAAAAAAUUCAUUCGUAAAAUCAGGAUUAAUAAAAAUAAUAAAAUAAAAAUCUGGCGACUAAAGGAUUUCCAUUUUCACUAUCAUAAACUCAAGGAUGGUUAGACCGAUUUUGGUCAGAAUUUAAUCAAUUAUUAGUUAGAAAGAACUGUGUUAAUUCAUACCAAAGUCAUUAAUUUUCGAGAUAUCCUCAUGCGAAAAAUUGAUAUAGUAAAAAAAAAAACUCAACUUUUCACUCGUUAUCUUCUCUGCAAACGAAAGAAUGGCAAAUUAAAAAAUGAUUAAGCCAACACUACGCGCGUAAUCGUUCGAUGAGAAACUGUUUACGUCGGAUAACAAUAUUAUGAACUCUUUUACCGGCAAAAAUCGUUUCCAUCCCCCAUUUCUGCACGACGAUUACACGUAAGUUUUGCAGCGCGUGCAAAUUUCCGUUUGAUUGUUUUUCUGUCAAUUUAUACUUAUCUGAACAAAAGUAAGAUAAUUAAGUGAAAAGAGCUAACGGCCGAGAUAAAAGUAUACACAUUAUGUUACAAUUCGCACGCGCCUCGGUUUUAACCCUCAUUUCGACGCAAGAUAAAGUUUAAUUAAAAAAAAAAAAAAAGAUAUUGCGGUAUGGGAAUGAUUGUUUAAUGCGCAGCAGUGGUAUAAUCGUAAGUCGGUAGUCAUAACCUCGCAUUCUAUAAUAGAGCAAGAAGCACACGAGUGAAAAUGUGAUACGAAUCUGUGAGAUAAUCCCUGGUAUAAUAUUCAUUAUCAGUGAAGGCUUACGAUCACUUUUUUUCCUACAACUAUGUUUUAUUUUUAAUAAAUAUUAUUAUUAUUGUUA